AUUGAACGCUGGCGGCAUGCCUUACACAUGCAAGUCGAACGGCAGCGGGGGAGCUUGCUCCUGCCGGCGAGUGGCGAACGGGUGAGUAAUGCAUCGGAACGUGUCCUGUUGUGGGGGAUAACUGAUCGAAAGAUCAGCUAAUACCGCAUGAGACCUGAGGGUGAAAGCGGGGGAUCGCAAGACCUCGCGCGACAGGAGCGGCCGAUGUCUGAUUAGCUAGUUGGUGAGAUAAAAGCUUACCAAGGCGACGAUCAGUAGCUGGUCUGAGAGGAUGAUCAGCCACAUUGGGACUGAGACACGGCCCAGACUCCUACGGGAGGCAGCAGUGGGGAAUUUUGGACAAUGGGGGAAACCCUGAUCCAGCCAUGCCGCGUGCGGGAUGAAGGCCUUCGGGUUGUAAACCGCUUUUGUCAGAGACGAAAAGGGACGCACGAAUAAUGCGUCCCGCUGACGGUAUCUGAAGAAUAAGCACCGGCUAACUACGUG
RNAcentral lists this ribosomal RNA (486 nucleotides) under uncultured bacterium. RNAcentral's name for it is "bacterial SSU rRNA". It matches the Rfam family "Bacterial small subunit ribosomal RNA", at positions 30 to 507 of the family's 1533-position model. The record is from RNAcentral.